AACGAACGCUGGCGGCAUGCCUAACACAUGCAAGUCGAACGAGACCUUCGGGUCUAGUGGCGCACGGGUGCGUAACGCGUGGGAACCUGCCCUUAGGUUCGGAAUAACUCCCCGACAGGGGUGCUAAUACCGGAUCAUGUCUUCGGACCAAAGAUUUAUCGCCUUUGGAUGGGCCCGCGUUGGAUUAGCUAGUUGGUAGGGUAAAAGCCUACCAAGGCGACGAUCCAUAGCUGGUCUGAGAGGAUGAUCAGCCACACUGGGACUGGGACACGGCCCAGACUCCUACGGGAGGCAGCAGUGGGGGAUAUUGGACAAUGGGCGAAAGCCUGAUCCAGCAAGGCCGCGUGAGUGAUGAAGGCCGUAGGGUUGUAAAGCUCUUUUACCCGGGAUGAUAAUGACAGUACCGGGAGAACAAGCUCCGGCUAACUCCGUG
This 433-nucleotide ribosomal RNA is filed under the name uncultured bacterium. Its description in RNAcentral is "partial 16S ribosomal RNA". It matches the Rfam family "Bacterial small subunit ribosomal RNA", at positions 29 to 507 of the family's 1533-position model. The record is from RNAcentral.